ACCUCAAGUCAUGUGAGAGUACCCGCUGACUUAAGCAUAUCAAUAAGCGGAGGAAAAGAAACCAACAAGGAUUCCCCUAGUAACGGCGAGUGAAGCGGGAAGAGCACAAAUUUAAAAUCUACCUGGUUUCCAGGUCGAGUUGUAAUUUGAAGAUACGUUUUUGAUGUUCCUGGUUGGACUAAAUCCUUUGGGAUAAGGUAUCAUAGAGGGUGAGAAUCCCGUGUACACCAACCAUAGGGAUGUUAUUUAAUAACGUUUCUAAGAGUCGAGUUGUUUGGGAAUGCAGCUCUAAAUGGGUGGUAGAUUUCACCUAAUGCUAAAUAUAAGCGAGAGACCGAUAGCGAACAAGUACAGUGAUGGAAAGAUGAAAAGAACUUUGAAAAGAGAGUUAAAUAGUACGUGAAAUUGUUGAAAGGGAAACGAUUGAAGUCAGUCAUGCUGGCGGGAAUCAACUUAGGGGAAACUCUGGGUGCACUUCUUCGUUUGGCAGGUUAGCGUCGAUUUUGGAUGUCAUAAAAUGAUUGGGGGAAGGUAGCUCCUUCGGGAGUGUUAUAGCCCUUGGUAGAUGUGAUGUCUGGGAUCGAGGAUUGCAACGGAUACCCUUCGGGGCUAGUCGCCUGAUCUCUAAUUGGUGUUGGGUUACGGACAGCAUGCUGACCGUGAUCUAAUUACUGGUUAAAAGGUUAGAGCGUGCAUAAAUUCGUUAAGGACGCUGACGUAAUGGCUUUAAACGACCCGUCUUGAAACACGGACCAAGGAGUCUAACAUGUAUGCGAGUGUUAAGGG
Molecule: ribosomal RNA, 786 nt
Filed under: uncultured fungus
Lineage: Eukaryota; Fungi
Description: eukaryotic LSU rRNA
Rfam family: Eukaryotic large subunit ribosomal RNA
Source: RNAcentral